This 253-nucleotide ribosomal RNA is filed under the name uncultured Lactobacillus sp. RNAcentral's name for it is "partial 16S ribosomal RNA". It matches the Rfam family "Bacterial small subunit ribosomal RNA", at positions 524 to 776 of the family's 1533-position model. The record is from RNAcentral. Lineage: Bacteria; Bacillati; Bacillota; Bacilli; Lactobacillales; Lactobacillaceae.
UACGGAGGGUGCAAGCGUUACUCGGAAUCACUGGGCGUAAAGCGAGCGCAGGCGGUUGCUUAGGUCUGAUGUGAAAGCCUUCGGCUUAACCGAAGAAGUGCAUCGGAAACCGGGCGACUUGAGUGCAGAAGAGGACAGUGGAACUCCAUGUGUAGCGGUGGAAUGCGUAGAUAUAUGGAAGAACACCAGUAGCGAAGGCGGCUGUCUGGUCUGCAACUGACGCUGAGGCUCGAAAGCAUGGGUAGCGAACAGG